This 370-nucleotide ribosomal RNA is filed under the name uncultured bacterium. RNAcentral's name for it is "bacterial SSU rRNA". It matches the Rfam family "Bacterial small subunit ribosomal RNA", at positions 527 to 896 of the family's 1533-position model. The record is from RNAcentral.
GUAGGUCCCGAGCGUUGUCCGGAUUUACUGGGUGUAAAGGGAGCGUAGACGGCUGUGCAAGUCUGGAGUGAAAACCCGGGGCUCAACCCCGGGAUUGCUUUGGAAACUGUGUAGCUGGAGUACCGGAGAGGCAAGUGGAAUUCCUAGUGUAGCGGUGAAAUGCGUAGAUAUUAGGAGGAACACCAGUGGCGAAGGCGGCUUGCUGGACGGUAACUGACGUUGAGGCUCGAAAGCGUGGGGAGCAAACAGGAUUAGAUACCCUGGUAGUCCACGCCGUAAACGAUGACUACUAGGUGUCGGUGAGCAAAGCUCAUCGGUGCCGCAGCUAACGCAAUAAGUAGUCCACCUGGGGAGUACGUUCGCAAGAAUG